RNAcentral lists this ribosomal RNA (699 nucleotides) under uncultured organism. RNAcentral describes it as "bacterial SSU rRNA". It matches the Rfam family "Bacterial small subunit ribosomal RNA", at positions 46 to 748 of the family's 1533-position model. The record is from RNAcentral.
GCUUAACACAUGCAAGUCGAACGGUAAGGCCUUCGGGGUACACGAGUGGCGCACGGGUGCGUAACACGUAUACAACUUACCCCUCAGUGGGAGAUAGUCGCGGGAAACUGCGAAUAAUACCCCAUACGAUCUUAACCUGGCAUCGGGUUGAGAUGAAAGUUCCGGCGCUGAGGGAUGGGUAUGCGUCCCAUUAGCUAGUUGGUGAGGUAACGGCUCACCAAGGCGACGAUGGGUAACUGGUCUGAGAGGAUGAUCAGCCACAUGGGCACUGAGACACGGGCCCAACUCCUACGGGAGGCAGCAGUGAGGAAUCUUGGUCAAUGGGGGCAAUCCUGAACCAGCCAUGCCGCGUGGAGGAAGACGGCCCUCCGGGUUGUAAACUUCUUUAGCUAGGGGCUAAUGAUGUGCUAUAGGCAUGUUUGCAGGUACCUAGAGAAUAAGCGCCGGCUAACUACGUGCCAGCAGCCGCGGUAAUACGUAGGGCGCAAGCGUUGUCCGGAUUUAUUGGGUUUAAAGGGUGCGUAGGCGGAUAGAUAAGUUCGUGGUGAAAUCGUUCGGCUUAACCGGAUACCCGCCAUGGAUGCUGUUUAUCUUGAGAUGGGAUGAGGAAGUUAGAAUGCGUGGUGUAGCGGUGAAAUGCAUAGAUAUCACGCAGAAUACCGAUUGCGAAGGCAGACUUCUGGUCCCGAUCUGACGCUG